This is a long non-coding RNA of Microtus ochrogaster (prairie vole), 1270 nucleotides long. RefSeq lists it as uncharacterized. The record is from RefSeq and is a predicted model, not a curated record. The transcript has 3 exons. Lineage: Eukaryota; Metazoa; Chordata; Mammalia; Rodentia; Cricetidae.
CACUUGCCUUGGAGUCAGCUGGCUACGUCCUCAGCCACCCCAAAGUGCCUGGCUUCCUAACUGAAGUGCAGGCCACACUAGUGGACAAGGGAGGUGGGCGGGACCAGUGAGUCCCAGAGGCUGCAUGGCUGUUUCAGAGCGAAUAGGAACCAGGGAGAACUAGGGAGGCAGAGACAAUACAGGGAAUGGUGAGAGUCAUUCUACCAGUCCUGUUCAUGUGGAGAAUCUUGAAUAUUGCAGCUGCAUGUUUUUAUGCACCAGUCCAUGGAGGAAUGUACUGGAUAACAGCAGUGCUCAUAAAGACAUUCUCCCUGGCUCUGUUAUUCCUUACGUAUCCAAAUUUCCAUGAACACUACUCUCUUUAUUAUUUUUCAUUUGCUGGAAUCUGCUCUGAAUUUCAGGAAUAAAACUCAUAAACCCAUGGAGCUGUCAUCCAGCGUUCUGAUGGGGAAAAUACCUAUUGUUUGAGAUCUGGUCUGCUUUUCAUGGUUGUCUGAAAUUGCUAUGACAACCAGGUAAAAAGUAGCUUGAGUUCAUCUGACCUCACCGUGAAACCAGAGAACAAACAUCUCCUUUUGUGACCUUAAAACUCUCUACCUGUUAAUAUUCUGGGCACCCUUCCCCCUGUGGGGCAGGAAAUCUCUCCGCCCACCUAAUACAGUGUACUGUAAAAGCUAGCUAGCCAAGUUGUGUUCAGUAGGAAAAAGGGAAAGUUCCUACGGAGUGAAAGAAGUCUGCAUCUGCUUGGGAGCCAGGGGCAAGUGCUAUUGAAAUGCAUAUAUUGGCCGAGCUAGAAAAGAUCUUUGACUGGUGUGGAAUGACCAGAAACCACUGUGCUGUGCCUUUAAGCACACAAUAGCCCUGUGGGAGGUGUUUUUGUCACUCAGGCCUCACUAGCCAAUCAGACCCUCCAGAUGACUUGCCAGUCAGAAGUCGUGCAGGGCUCUUCCGGGCACCCGGUUUCAGGUUUGGCUUUGAAGAGGAGCUGGCGCCAGUGGUUUAGUAUGCUGUGGAGCUGCUGUCACUGCAGGGAUAGGAUGAGCUUAAGAGUUUUGGCGACCUGGGGAGCCACAACAUGAAGGCUGUGACCUAUGAUGAUGUGCAUAUCAACUUCACUUGGGAAGAGUGGAAUUUGCUGGAUGCUUCCCAGAAGACUCUUUACAAAGAUGUGAUGCUGGAGACCUACAGGAACCUCGCUACUGUAGGAUACAUUUGGGAAAACCAUAAUAUUAAAGAACAUUGUCAAAUUUCUAGAAGACAUGAAAGGUAA